This 253-nucleotide ribosomal RNA is filed under the name uncultured bacterium. Its description in RNAcentral is "partial 16S ribosomal RNA". It matches the Rfam family "Bacterial small subunit ribosomal RNA", at positions 524 to 776 of the family's 1533-position model. The record is from RNAcentral.
UACGUAGGGUGCAAGCGUUAAUCGGAAUUACUGGGCGUAAAGCGUGCGCAGGCGGUUGUGCAAGACCGAUGUGAAAUCCCCGGGCUUAACCUGGGGAUGGCAUUGGUGACUGCACGGCUAGAGUGUGUCAGAGGGGGGUAGAAUUCCACAUGUAGCAGUGAAAUGCGUAGAGAUGUGGAGGAAUACCGAUGGCGAAGGCAGCCCCCUGGGAUAACACUGACGCUCAUGCACGAAAGCGUGGGGAGCAAACAGG